This 883-nucleotide ribosomal RNA is filed under the name Maribacter sp. I3M08 DBT. RNAcentral's name for it is "bacterial SSU rRNA". It matches the Rfam family "Bacterial small subunit ribosomal RNA", at positions 548 to 1433 of the family's 1533-position model. Lineage: Bacteria; Pseudomonadati; Bacteroidota; Flavobacteriia; Flavobacteriales; Flavobacteriaceae. The record is from RNAcentral.
GAAUUAUUGGGUUUAAAGGGUCCGUAGGCGGGUCGAUAAGUCAGGGGUGAAAGUCUGCCGCUCAACGGUAGAACUGCCUUUGAUACUGUCGGUCUUGAGUUAUAGUGAAGUUGCCGGAAUAUGUAGUGUAGCGGUGAAAUGCAUAGAUAUUACAUAGAACACCGGUUGCGAAGGCAGGUGACUAACUAUAUACUGACGCUGAUGGACGAAAGCGUGGGGAGCGAACAGGAUUAGAUACCCUGGUAGUCCACGCCGUAAACGAUGGAUACUAGCUGUCCGGAACCUUGAGUUCUGGGCGGCCAAGCGAAAGUGAUAAGUAUCCCACCUGGGGAGUACGUUCGCAAGAAUGAAACUCAAAGGAAUUGACGGGGGCCCGCACAAGCGGUGGAGCAUGUGGUUUAAUUCGAUGAUACGCGAGGAACCUUACCAGGGCUUAAAUGCAUAUUGACAGGUCUAGAGAUAGAUUUUCCUUCGGGCAAUUUGCAAGGUGCUGCAUGGUUGUCGUCAGCUCGUGCCGUGAGGUGUCAGGUUAAGUCCUAUAACGAGCGCAACCCCUACCGUUAGUUGCCAGCAUGUCAUGAUGGGGACUCUAACGGGACUGCCGGUGCAAACCGUGAGGAAGGUGGGGAUGACGUCAAAUCAUCACGGCCCUUACGUCCGGGGCCACACACGUGCUGCAAUGGCAGGUACAGAGAGCAGCCACGUCGCAAGGCGGAGCGAAUCUAUAAAACCUGUCACAGUUCGGAUCGGGGUGUGCAACUCGACCCCGUGAAGCUGGAAUCGCUAGUAAUCGGAUAUCAGCCAUGAUCCGGUGAAUACGUUCCCGGGCCUUGUACACACCGCCCGUCAAGCCAUGGAAGCCGGGAGUGCCUGAAGUCCGUCA